Hibiscus syriacus is the source of this 677-nucleotide RNA transcript. It is a transcript of the gene named mitochondrial inner membrane protease ATP23-like, with no coding region annotated. The record is from RefSeq and is a predicted model, not a curated record. Lineage: Eukaryota; Viridiplantae; Streptophyta; Magnoliopsida; Malvales; Malvaceae. The transcript has 9 exons.
CAGCUAUAGUGGUGCUUGAUUAGUUGAUUAUAUGGCCAAAAUUCCAACACUGAAAAAUGGAAGAAGAAUCCUACAAGAAGUACGAAGGAUGCACCGUUAAUGAAUGCGAAAACAUGAUUCAAAGAAGUCUACGGACUCCAAUGGUGAAAUUUUUGAUGGAGCAUAUGGAUAAAGCUGGGUGUAAGUUAGGUGAUAAUUUCAUCAAAGCAGUUAAUUGCGAACAACAAAUGGGCGGAGGCUAUCUUCGUGGCAAUGGGAUAGUGGUGUGUAGCAACCAUAUGAAAAUUCAAGACGAUGUCAAUCAAGUAGUUAUACAUGAGCUUAUUCAUGCAUAUGAUGAAUGCCGUGCUGCAAACUUGGACUGGUCAAAUUGUGCUCAUCAUGCCUGUAGUGAGAUUCGUGCUGGACAUCUAAGUGGUGAUUGCCAUUACAAACGAGAAUUGUUGCGGGGUUUUAUGAAGAUAAGAGGCCAUGAACAAGACUGUGUGAGACGAAGAGUUAUGAAAUCAGUGACUUCAAACCCUUUCUGCUCUGAAACAGCCGCAAAGGAUGCCAUGGAAGCCGUGUGGGACAUCUGUUAUAACGACACGAAGCCCUUUGACAGAGCUCCUUGAAGUCCAGUCAUGGCAAUCCCUACCGAGAUUCUUAAUUGUUUUCAUUUCCAUCAUAGUUGAACU